UGGGGAAUAUUGCACAAUGGGCGCAAGCCUGAUGCAGCGACGCCGCGUGAGGGAUGGAGGCCUUCGGGUUGUAAACCUCUUUCGCCAGUGAAGCAGGCCAUCUUCUUUGUGGGGUGGUUGACGGUAGCUGGAUAAGAAGCGCCGGCUAACUACGUGCCAGCAGCCGCGGUAAUACGUAGGGCGCGAGCGUUGUCCGGAAUUAUUGGGCGUAAAGAGCUCGUAGGCGGCUGGUCGCGUCUGUCGUGAAAUCCCCUGGCUUAACUGGGGGCUUGCGGUGGGUACGGGCGGGCUUGAGUGCGGUAGGGGAGACUGGAAUUCCUGGUGUAGCGGUGGAAUGCGCAGAUAUCAGGAGGAACACCGGUGGCGAAGGCGGGUCUCUGGGCCGUUACUGACGCUGAGGAGCGAAAGCGUGGGGAGCGAACAGG
Molecule: ribosomal RNA, 425 nt
Filed under: bacterium
Lineage: Bacteria
Description: partial 16S ribosomal RNA
Rfam family: Bacterial small subunit ribosomal RNA
Source: RNAcentral